UACGUAGGGUGCGAGCGUUGUCCGGAAUUACUGGGCGUAAAGAGCUCGUAGGUGGUUUGUCGCGUUGUUCGUGAAAACUCACAGCUCAACUGUGGGCGUGCGGGCGAUACGGGCAGACUGGAGUACUGCAGGGGAGACUGGAAUUCCUGGUGUAGCGGUGGAAUGCGCAGAUAUCAGGAGGAACACCGGUGGCGAAGGCGGGUCUCUGGGCAAUUCCUGACGCUGAGGCGCGAAAGCGUGGGGAGCAAACGGG
RNAcentral lists this ribosomal RNA (253 nucleotides) under uncultured bacterium. RNAcentral's name for it is "partial 16S ribosomal RNA". It matches the Rfam family "Bacterial small subunit ribosomal RNA", at positions 524 to 776 of the family's 1533-position model. The record is from RNAcentral.